RNAcentral lists this long non-coding RNA (1324 nucleotides) under Homo sapiens (human). RNAcentral describes it as "HSALNT0396157". The record is from RNAcentral. Lineage: Eukaryota; Metazoa; Chordata; Mammalia; Primates; Hominidae.
GGUGUGAGCCACCGCACCCGGCCAAAACUCAAGUUUUUUAAGAGAGUGGGCAGGAAGAUCCAGCUCACCUUACUAGCCACUAGAGCUGAUUUAAAUGCUCCCUCUGUGGGUGGGCAUCAGCUGAAUUCAGCCUGGUUUUGCUUUCUACUUGUUGGUAGAAGAGCUGAGGCAGGACUGGCUUAUCUGUCAUAAUAUAAAAGAGUCUUGGAAGAUGUCUGGGGUCCAGGGUCUAAAACCCCUCGUGGCCUUUGGAACACCAAACUCUGUGCCAAGGGGUGGAAGGCUGCCCUGCCGCACCACAAAUCUAAGCCCAGGGCAUAAAACCCCUCAUGGCUUGGAUGGAAUCCAGGGCUUAGGGCAUAAAACCCCUCGUAGCCUCUGGAAUGUGCACAGACUUGUUGGUUGCUCUCCCAGGUUCGUAAACAUGUUCUCUAUUAUCUCCAAGCAGCAGAGCAUAUUAUAUAUGCAUCAAAGAAAAUGCUAAACCAUCACAGAUACGCUUGAUGCACCACUACCUUUCUAACCUCACACCCUCACCUGUUUACCCCUACGUCCUCAAGACCUGCUUCUUUGUUUGAUCACCAAUAAAUAAUGUGGGCUCCCAGAGCUCAGGGCCUUCGCAGCAUCCAUACCAGCGUUGGCCCCCUGGACCCACCUUAUGCACUCUUAACUUGUCUUUUCUCAUUCCUUUGACUACGCUGGAGUUUGUAGCCCCCACGGCCUGGUGUUGGGUCUGAUCACCCCAACAUUUCUGGCACCCAACGUGGGGCUACGAACACUCCGGUGAAGGAACACUAGAGUGUGCGGAAGCGGAGGACACAUUGUCAGAGGACACCCAAGGACGACUGAAAGAAGCUUGGUGGAAUUCAUAUAAAGUUGCGAGUUUCAGGUUGGUUGGCUCUGACUGAUCACCUGUAUUAUGGACCAUCUGUGUGAUUAUGGGGAAAAGUUCAGGACACCAGCAACCUACAUUGGAUAGGACCACCUCUGACUCCAGGGAUUGCCACUCAAUCUUUCUGAGAUUAGCACCCACAUCCAACAAGGUGUGAUCCUGGUGAUCUUUGAAAAAAAGGCACUGAAACAACCAUGAUUUAAGUUUUUGGUAUUAUGAAUGCAUGAGAAAUUUUCUGGGAAAAAAUCAUAACUAUAUUAAGAAUAAAAAAUAAAAAAUUCCUAAGGAAAAUACUUGAUCUUGUAUGCACAUAAUAUUGACUCAGAAUAUAUGAGGAUUAACUCAAUAAACUUAAAAACUUAAUCUGAAAAUCACUGGAUUAAGAAAAUGUGGCACAUAUACACCAUGGAAUACUAUGCGGCCAUAAAAAAG